UGAGGAAUAUUGGUCAAUGGGCGAGAGCCUGAACCAGCCAAGUCGCGUGAGGGAAGACGGUCCUAUGGAUUGUAAACCUCUUUUGCCGGGGAGCAAAGAGCGGUACGUGUACCGCGCCGAGAGUACCCGGAGAAAAAGCAUCGGCUAACUCCGUGCCAGCAG
RNAcentral lists this ribosomal RNA (162 nucleotides) under uncultured bacterium. Its description in RNAcentral is "partial 16S ribosomal RNA". It matches the Rfam family "Bacterial small subunit ribosomal RNA", at positions 355 to 514 of the family's 1533-position model. The record is from RNAcentral.